UGUUUCUGGAAGCCUGACACAGUGGGACAAGCAGUCCGAAUAGUUAACUUGGGGGAGGACAUUGUAUCUAGUUAGCCAUCUCCCCCUCCUCCCCUCCUGCAGGCAGUGUGCGAUCAUUUCAUUAUCGCUCUUGUGACCUGCUGCAGCUCCCGCCUCCCAGCAACAUUAACUUCAAGAAGAGAUCAGCAGUCGGAAGAACAAGUGCGGGAGGGAGAGGCCUCCGGAUUUCUGUGCAGCUCUGGUGAGCCAACGAGGGCCGAAGGAAGGGUGGAUAACGAGCAAUGUCAGGGUGUGGAGGAGGAGGAUGACAGACGCAGCUAAUGCAGGCAUCCACCAAUCAGGAGGCUGUCCUCGUGGGCUCUCUCCUUACCAGGAAGAGAAGAUGGGGAGAACCCAAGCUCGAAUCUUUUUCUGAACCUUAGGGCAGAACUCCACAGGGUGAUGUUAUCCAAUGCAUCACACUGAGAGAAAACGCAGGCGACCAGUUGGAGGUGCCGAAUAUAAUAGCCUUCUGACACAAAGAGAAAGACAACUGCUGAUAUUCUGUGGAACAACUGUUGACCUGAUGGACAAAGUAAUAAAUGAAGACCAAAGAUCACCGCUUCUAAAGAACUUGCUUUAUUUUUCCAGACAUUGGUUAGUGCCAGCAAGUUGAAAGAUUCUGAUGCCAACAAACAUUCAUAACACAUGAUCCAUAGCGCUAUACUCUUUUUAUAACUUGUAUAUCUGUUUUUAUUUUAAUAUCUUGAACCUUACAUAUUUUUAUAUUUAAUUGUUUUAUAAUAUAAAAUAGUUAGAAUGCAUUGACUUGUAUAAAGUUGAUUGUUGUUUUGAAACAAUGGAAUAUAUACUUUUUAAAAAUGGUUGAUUAUACUUCAUUAAAAAACUAACUUUGUGUGCUAUAUCCUAAAUUAAUAAAAGGUGCAAAGUUGGUACUGCUCUAGUAACCCCUAGCAACCAAUCACCAGGUUCCUAUUCCAAAUUAAAGGGUCAGUAACACUAAAAAAAAUGUAAGUUAAAAAAAAAUAUUAUAGCCCUCUCUAGUGCCUCAUCCUUCCAGCACAAUGUUAACUAUUUUGAAUGCUUUAUUAAAAAAAUACCAUAAUGUAUA
Molecule: long non-coding RNA, 1111 nt
Organism: Xenopus laevis (African clawed frog)
Lineage: Eukaryota; Metazoa; Chordata; Amphibia; Anura; Pipidae
Exons: 3
Source: RefSeq, a predicted model, not a curated record